This is a non-coding RNA of Paramuricea clavata, 348 nucleotides long. Lineage: Eukaryota; Metazoa; Cnidaria; Anthozoa; Malacalcyonacea; Plexauridae. The record is from the annotation of a GenBank genome assembly.
UUAAGAAAUUAGGUGUAGUGUUUGGAAAAAGUGGGUGUGGUUCAAAGCACUAUAAACUGUGUUCAAACUUAACUCUCUAAAAUCUUAACUCUCAAGGGCCGGUCGUUCGAAAGCGGGUUAGCUCAACCCUGGGUUAACGUGAAGUUCAAAGCACACUUCCCAGCAGCUUGUUUAUAAACUUGGAAAUAUUUUUGCAGAGGUGUUGUCUAGAUCAUCAGAAGUUUAAAGUGGAAGUCAAGUCCGUAUGUAAACAAACGGUUUGUUUACAUUUUGAACUGCUGUAUUUUUUAAAAAUAUGAUGUACUGUCUGAAUAUCUAACACCAUUUGGUUCGCUAUGCUUCUAAAUG